RNAcentral lists this non-coding RNA (267 nucleotides) under Tetraselmis astigmatica. Lineage: Eukaryota; Viridiplantae; Chlorophyta; Chlorodendrophyceae; Chlorodendrales; Chlorodendraceae. The record is from RNAcentral.
GCUUGAGGCCUCCUUUGGCACCAUGUGGGCGAGGGAGUACAUGGAGGAGGUCAUGUUUGACACGGCGUGAAGGCCCUGCCAGCUGGUGCCUUGAGGGCACCUGUCGACUUCGCUGGGGGCCAAUGCAUGGCUGCCAAGGGGGGGGCGGGGGGACCUCUGAGAACGGUGGGCGUGGGUAGGGAAUGCCCUUCACUAGGCAAAGCACCCGGGGCUUCUGCAGACAGUCGGCCAUUAGGCGGUUGUGUGGCUUUGGAGCUGCCACUAGCU